Molecule: non-coding RNA, 73 nt
Organism: Myotis lucifugus (little brown bat)
Lineage: Eukaryota; Metazoa; Chordata; Mammalia; Chiroptera; Vespertilionidae
Source: Rfam
GCCCCGUUAGCACAGGAGGGAGUGCGUCAGUGUCAUGCUCUGAAGGUGGUGAGUUCGAUUCUCACACGGGGUG